RNAcentral lists this ribosomal RNA (497 nucleotides) under uncultured bacterium. RNAcentral's name for it is "partial 16S ribosomal RNA". It matches the Rfam family "Bacterial small subunit ribosomal RNA", at positions 28 to 507 of the family's 1533-position model. The record is from RNAcentral.
GAUGAACGCUGGCGGCGUGCCUAAUACAUGCAAGUCGAGCGAACAGACGAGGAGCUUGCUCCUCUGACGUUAGCGGCGGACGGGUGAGUAACACGUGGAUAACCUACCUAUAAGACUGGGAUAACUUCGGGAAACCGGAGCUAAUACCGGAUAAUAUAUUGAACCGCAUGGUUCAAUAGUGAAAGACGGUUUUGCUGUCACUUAUAGAUGGAUCCGCGCCGCAUUAGCUAGUUGGUAAGGUAACGGCUUACCAAGGCGACGAUGCGUAGCCGACCUGAGAGGGUGAAUGGGCACACUGGAACUGAGAAACGGGCCAAGAUCCCACGGGAGGCAGCAGUAGGGAAUCUUCCGCAAUGGGCGAAAGCCUGACGGAGCAACGCCGCGUGAGUGAUGAAGGUCUUCGGAUCGUAAAACUCUGUUAUUAGGGAAGAACAAAUGUGUAAGUAACUAUGCACGUCUUGACGGUACCUAAUCAGAAAGCCACGGCUAACUACGUG